RNAcentral lists this ribosomal RNA (207 nucleotides) under uncultured bacterium. Its description in RNAcentral is "partial 16S ribosomal RNA". It matches the Rfam family "Bacterial small subunit ribosomal RNA", at positions 568 to 774 of the family's 1533-position model. The record is from RNAcentral.
CUCGUAGGUGGCCAACUAAGUCAUACGUGAAAUCCCUCGGCUUAACCGGGGAACUGCGUCUGAUACUGGAUGGCUUGAGUUUGGGAGAGGGAUGCGGAAUUCCAGGUGUAGCGGUGAAAUGCGUAGAUAUCUGGGGGAACACCGGUGGCGAAGGCGGCAUCCUGGACCAACACUGACGCUGAUGAGCGAAAGCCAGGGGAGCAAACG